CACGUAGGGCGCAAGCGUUGUCCGGAAUUAUUGGGCGUAAAGAGCUCGUAGGCGGACUGUCACGUCUGCUGUGAAAAGCUGGGGCUUAACCCUGGCCUUGCAGUGGAUACGGGCAGACUAGAGGUAGGUAGGGGAGAAUGGAAUUCCCGGUGUAGCGGUGAAAUGCGUAGAUAUCGAGAGGAACACCUGCGGCGAAGGCGGGUUGCUGGGCUGACACUGACGCUGAUGCGCGAAAGCCAGGGGAGCGAACGGG
Molecule: ribosomal RNA, 253 nt
Filed under: uncultured bacterium
Lineage: Bacteria
Description: partial 16S ribosomal RNA
Rfam family: Bacterial small subunit ribosomal RNA
Source: RNAcentral